RNAcentral lists this small RNA (218 nucleotides) under Mytilus galloprovincialis (Mediterranean mussel). Lineage: Eukaryota; Metazoa; Mollusca; Bivalvia; Mytilida; Mytilidae. The record is from RNAcentral.
GCCAUUCAGAGUAAUCCAGCCCUGGCAUCAGUGACUUAUUAUUAUUUUUUUUUGUUGUCACCGGGCCUCAGUGGCUGACAACAAAUAAAAAAGAUAAAAAAAAAAUUAAAAUAAGUCAAUGAGGUCAGGGCUGGACUACUGACAACAACAAAAAAAAAAAAAAAAAAAAAAAAAUGAAAAUAAGUCACUGAGGCCAGGGCUGGACUACUCUGGAUGGC